CGUGGUGGAGAGGGGGUUUAGGGGGAAAGGAUAGAGGGGUCCGUGGGCUUUUAAAGGACGCGGUCGGGUCUCCGAAUAAAGGACGGGAGAGGUGAUUACGGAGGGGAUGGCGCGCGGUGGCGAAAACGGCAGGCGGCGGCAUUCAUGGGCGUGAUUUGGGGAAGAUGAUGCUGACAGGUGGGGCCCACCUGUCAGCGGCUGCGGCUCAGGCGCGGGCGAAGCUGUGCUGCGGCGCGCGGCAGGUAAGUGGGCCAGCCCAGUUGGAUCGGUCCGUUUCCUUUCUUUUUUUUUCCUUUUUUUUUUCUGUUUAUCCUUUCAAACUUUUGAUUUUGAACUCCAAAUUGGUCCAAAUAAAUGCCAUAAAAUUUGUAAAAUCAUAUUAUAAUAUGAUUCAACUUUUGGGACUAAUUUCCCUUCCAAAUAAAAUAUAUAAAAAUACAUUUGCCCUAUAAAUGCCUUUAGGGCUUCAUAACUAAUUAAAUAAAAUAGUUUUUCAACUCCAAAUAAAUAUUAAAAAUUAUGGGAUAGCUCAUAUAUGCAAUAAAUCCCUUUUAUAGAUAAACCCUAAUGGUUUAAAGAUCCAAGGCUCAAAUGGGUGAAAUGCUAGGGUUUUAAAAUGAAAUACAACCUUUUCAAAGCCUUUUGAAAUUCAAAUUUGAAUCCAAACAUGCAAAUGUGGCAUGAUGCUCAUGCAUGCAAUGCAUAUGAAAGAGUUUGAAUUUUUGGGAUGUAACAGACCUAACCCCCUUAAGAUGAAUCUUGUCCUCAAGAUUCGGUUUGGCUAGCAAAG
Molecule: long non-coding RNA, 790 nt
Filed under: Brachypodium distachyon (stiff brome)
Lineage: Eukaryota; Viridiplantae; Streptophyta; Magnoliopsida; Poales; Poaceae
Description: long non-coding RNA (BDIS_LNC003327)
Source: RNAcentral